AUGGAUCUGACUCUCGCGCUGUCAGCUGUUAUCUUCACGCUUCUGGCUCUCGUCGUCGCGACGUCGCUGUUCAGCGGCUCUUCGCCCGCGGCCGAGUUCGCGAGUUAUUUCGGAGCUGCGGGAGACGGCGGUGCGACGGGGGGAUUAGAUCAACCGGGGCCGACGCGUAACGGGAAUCUGCCGGACGCCAAGAAGAAGAAGGAGGAGGAGAAGAAGGUGCAGCAGCAGCAGAAGGCGCAGGACGACUGGUGCGAGAUCAGCGGCAGCUCCCACGACCACUGGGAUGUGGUGAAAUCGGUGCUUUCAAGUGAAGGAGCCACAGAGAGCCCGGAGAUCAACGAUGCAAACGAGUCUUUGAGGUACGCCCCUGGAAAGGCGCGAUCCCACCACCUGCAAAGGAUGAUGUCCAAAGAUGAGCUGGAGGAGGAGCGCAGGACACACUCCAACACAGACUUUAACGGUCUGUGGGCCUGAAACAGGAGCAAUUAUGUGGUAAAGUAUGAGGUAUUCUAACCCGUCUAUCUCAGGCACUUUCUGGCCAUUGUACUCUAAAGCCAUGUAGCAGUCUCAAGUUCUUAGAGCUCAGGUGGCACAGCUUGCAUUGAUUGUGUCUCCAGUCGUCACCUCUGACAGGGGAGCGUGAGUUAAUCCUCUCAGGACUCUCCUCCGUUCUGCCACAAGGAGGACUCAGCGGAGAGCCAAACACUGAAAGGUCACGCUGACUCGCCAGUUGGCACACACAAACUAUUCAUUCCCACUGCAAUGGAGAGAGUUGACGAAAAAAUCUGCUUUGACAUGAGAAAGGCAUCUUAUUGUAUGACAGGUCAGGAGGACAGGCAGCUGGGACGAAAUGUGAUUUUAAAAUAGCAGCACUGAUUUAAUGUACUCACUGGCUGUGGGUAGACCAACCACACAACAACAUUAAAAAAAAAAAUACUUCUUCUUCAUUCUGCAUCACUGUAUUUGUUUCUCCACAUGUUCUUGUCAAGCUAGAUAUUGAUCUCUAAUAUUGGAAAAUUGGAGCCUUCAAAUAAGCCAAAUGGGUUUUUAUGUCCUCUUACUGCACUCUGAUGUUGUUUAUCUGUGGUAUGUUUUUUUAAAUUUUAGGAACCCUGCUAAUUAAUAUAAAAUAGUGCUGUCAAACAAUUUUUAUAUCCCGAUUAAUCACAUUUAUGUCAUAGUUAACUCAAAAUUAAUCACAAUUAAUCGUUAUCAAUAAAAGGUAAGCCUUCUUUGCUUUCAACCAGUUUCUCAAACAGACAAGCCUGUUGACAUUUUCAGACAACAGUGAAGCUCACUUAUUUUGCACAACAUGCCCAGACACAUAAAACAACCUUUCAGAAGGUACUGAUGUUGCCGGUGCUGCUAAGUACUUUUAAACGUUAUUUACGUCAUUUUUCUGUGUGCCCCUCCAUGUGUGGACCAUCAUUCCUGGGGACAAUCAUCCAUCCCAAAUUAACGUUGUUAACUGACAGCACUAAUAUAAAAUAAACACAUCAAAAAGGAGAAAUCUUGUCAUUGUUGCAGCACAAACACAAAAAUAGAUGUUGAUAAAUAAAGAGUAAAAUAAAAGAAACAACAGAAGGUAUAUACAACUCAAAUAGAUGUCAGAGGAACGGCACCAACAGAGUUCCUCAAGGUGCACCGGUGUUUUGGUGUUGGGGAUCAGGAACUCUGAGACUGUGUUUUUUGUUAAUCCGCAGCCUGACGCUCCUUAAAUGUAAAUAAGAGCCACUGAAGGACUAAUCCAAUAUAACAAAAUACGUAGUUACAUAGUUACAUCUGUAACAUUAUAUUUUAUUAUAUGAUCACACGUUUUGUUUGUGUAAAGCUCCAACAAUUAGUUGAUGCAUUGAUAAAUGAAUUUCUUUCCAGUUUCCUUACUUGUCUUUAUUAGUAAAAUUUGGGGUUUUAGGUUGGGAAUUCUUCAAAGUAUGACAUUUGAAGACGUCACAUUAGAGCUUGCCAUAUGCUCUCAUUUGUUGGCAAAAGAUUAUUCUAUCAAUCUGGAAAUUAAUCAGAAGAUUAUUGAAUAAUAAAAUAAUGGAAGUUUAGCUUCGACAAUAGAUGUUGGGGUCUGUCUUCUGUUGUAAAGCCCUGACUUCACUUUGUCUCCCUGGAUGAUAACUGCCGCAGAGGCCUCCUGUUGGGCCGAUAAUUCAUCAACCGCUAUUUCUCAAAAGAGGAGAAAUCAGAGAAUAUUAUCAAGACAUUGACAAUAGGGACCAGUAAAAAGUGGAACUGGAUAUCUUAAGUGAUCAACUUAAAGAGGAAUGCCAAAUACAAUACCAUGAGGUCCGAGGUAAGACAGCAACGCACGAAAGAUGAUUUGUGGUUGAGAGUCAUAAAUACAAUCUACAUUACAUAACAUUAUAUGUCAUUUAGCCAACGUUUUUAUCCAAAGCGACUUUCAAUAAGUGUGUUAAAGUGUGUAAAUUAUGGUUGAAGUGCACAGGGUUCAAACCCAGAAGAACAGGAAACAAGAAAGUGCAAUUUCAUCAAUUUACAACUUGCCAUAGAUAAGCAAUUAUAUUAUCCAAGUACAAGUCAAGUGCUACAAUCUAAGAUAAAGAAUACAUACAGACAUGUUAUCUCUUGUUUUCACUUAAUAAAUAACUUAUUUGUCCUGAGACUGUUACCAGGUAAAUAAAUACUCUUAUUUGCGUUCUAGGAGUAAAGUAUGAUAUCUAAAAUCAGUGUCUCAAAUACGGAGCUGGUUAGUUAGCUUGGUUAAAACUGAAGAGUAGAAAUUACUUCUUGUGAUUUGGCUAGCGCUUAUGUGCUAUAGACUGUUUAGUGACUGGGAGCAGUGACCUCCGUUGCCAUUUCACGUUUAGAUGUGUGUUUUUUUUUUAUGAUCGUUGGAGUGUUGAUAAAGAACUAUGACGUAUAACAACUUUACAACAUGAGUUAUUAGGGAAACUGUCCUGACAUGACAUUUGUUGCCCCAGAACCUCCGUGUGUCUCUGUGUGAGUGCUAAAGUAAUAUUAACUAAAGAUUAGCUAUGAUAUUAACAAAUAUCCUACACGAUGAGGCUAUGUGUGAAUUUUCCUAAUCAAAUUUACAUUUGU
Molecule: long non-coding RNA, 3072 nt
Organism: Gasterosteus aculeatus (three-spined stickleback)
Lineage: Eukaryota; Metazoa; Chordata; Actinopteri; Perciformes; Gasterosteidae
Source: Ensembl